Long non-coding RNA from Gasterosteus aculeatus aculeatus (three-spined stickleback), 2233 nucleotides. Lineage: Eukaryota; Metazoa; Chordata; Actinopteri; Perciformes; Gasterosteidae. The record is from Ensembl.
UUUCUGUGAACAUGGCAUUUCCUGUAAAAGUUCCCUUUGAAAGGCUCAUUGAGUGUGUGCAGACGGCGGCAGACUCCCACACAUGAAUGCAUCAGUAGCAGGGAAGACAAACAGGUGUUUUUUCUUGGGGGAGAAUUUUUGAUCUGCACACUGUGAGUUUCUCACGAACUCGGUGCGUGACCUUUUUUGGGAAGCACCGUGACCUAAACCGGUGCAGGGCGGUAUACUGUUUCUACAGAUGGAACCCAUGUGUACCUCGACUGAUCCAUAUCUUGUUUUUCUCUCUACCUUUUGCCUGGGACUCAUUGAGUCACUCCCCCGGACGCUCAGGUGGCGGCACGGAUCUCUGCCUCUCUGACUGACAUCUGUGGGUGGGUGUCUGCUCAACCAUCAACCACGACAAGACUGAACCACUUCUCCUUCCCGGGAAAAGAUUCUCCGACCCAGGAACUGACGGUUACCUUUGGCAACUCCGUGUUAACGCCCGCUUUGACUGCGAGGAACCUCGGCGUGCCACUCGACAGCCAACUCUCCGUGACUCCCAACGCCAUUGCGACAACACAAUCCUGUAGACACACGCUCUGCAACCUCAGGAGAAUACGUCUCCUCCUCAGAAGGAACUGGAGUCAGGCCGCUGCUGGUGUGCGUGGCAGCGGCGGUGGGGCCUGCCCAGCGUCACUGUCUCCUGCCAACGGGUGUGCCAGCUGGUCACUGCAGUCAUCUUCUCUUCUCCAGAGGAACGAUCCAACGCGCAGUCCAGCAGCGGCGCCAAUUAAUAACGAAUCACACGCGUGCCCCAUAAGCAUGCUCACCGACGAAUUAAAUGUGCCCUCUUUCUCUGGGAAAGCACUUCUGUUAGGCAGAUCACACACAAACUAUUUGGCCUGCGUCCCGGGGACUCCAGGGCUCACAACAUGAUCGCAGGCGCGGUCCAGCCGGGGUCACUCCGAGCGCUGCUCAGCCCGGACUCCUUUCCCACGGAAACCGUGAGCAGCGGCUCAAGAGACGGCAAAAAACAAGCUGCGGCAGUGAGAGUUUGCAAUGAUGACCCUCAUUUAUCACAUGCGAGGGCCUUUCGUAUGUGCUGAUAGUCACACUUAUAUUACAGAUAUUAUUAACACAUUUGUGGGAAUUGGCUCUCUUGCGGUGAGUUAGCUAGUUUAGCCUUUAAUAUGGGUCUUUUUUUACAUUUUAAUAUGAUAAAAUUGGAUUUUACAGAAAUAACUAUCUAAAUGAUUCCGUGAAGUCUUGACCAUUUCUAACUACGUUGCUAAUAGGUCGCAGCACAGUGUUAAUAGUUUAAAAUCAUACAAAACUGACCCCUCUCAUCAGUAGACACCUGAUUUGAACCACGCAACAAAUAAAAAAUAUGUUUUUUUGUCACUGUUGUGAUAUUUGAGUGAAAUUCAUUUGAAAAAAGGGGGGUGUUUUAACAGCAAGCAAGAUUUAGUGAGAGUUUUUUCCUUUUUUUGGUAGACGUGUUUUUCUGUUUCUCCUCCAUUAAUUACAUUCUAUCAUCUGGAGAACAUAUUUUUCAUCUCACACAUCAUUACCAAGUCACAUAAAUCAGAGAGUACUUCACUUCAUGUCUCGACUGGUUGGCAAAAGGCAUUCAAGGAUGCGUGGCAUUUCAUAUUCUAUAAAAGAUGAUCAGCGUUGGUUAAAGACUGGAGUUUAUAAACUGAAAACAGGUUUUAUCUUGAAGAAUCACGCUGCACCAAUCGGCAAACUUGCAAGGUAUGCAGCUAAAAAAAUGAGAAUGUUUCCAGAUGAGAGUGAUUGCUGGUAUACUUGAAAAAUGGCUCCUUUCCAAAGGUUUCUAUUUCAUUUCAAAGUGCUGUUUUCCGCUGAAUGGCCGAGGCUUACUGGCAAUUACCUCAAACAAAUGAUCCAUGCGUUCAUUUAUUCUCCCUCAUAUCAUCAUCAUCUCUGUCCCCUUGCUCAACUCAAAUCAUAUUUUUCCGGUUUUCCUACUUCUUAAUUAAAGGUUCAGAUGUUGUUGUUGUUUUUUUUUAAAUCAGCUGCCUGAGACAUUUGAACAUAACAUUUCCAAAUGUUCGAGUAUGAAAACGCUCUCGGUAAUUACCGACGUUGUUGCGUUGGGUUUGAACUAUGUAGCCAUCAUGAGGUUUGGGAUAAAUGGACCAAUGAACUAAUUUGGGCUGCAUCUGAACUACUGACGCGGUUACGACUUCAUGAUAUCUCCUCUACAUUUGGGGUUUUGAGUUAAAUG